This is a long non-coding RNA of Ipomoea triloba (trilobed morning glory), 216 nucleotides long. RefSeq lists it as uncharacterized. The record is from RefSeq and is a predicted model, not a curated record. The transcript has 3 exons. Lineage: Eukaryota; Viridiplantae; Streptophyta; Magnoliopsida; Solanales; Convolvulaceae.
UGUUGUAGUGUUGAUCCAAUUCUGCAGAGUAAAGCUGGGCUUAAGAGAUGGUGAUGUGAAAAUUUGUUCAUCCUAUGAUGUGACCCAAUCGCUGUUCAACCUUGACCAACCGGAAUUUAAAAGUUUCACAGAAAGAGACAGGGAAUAUCAAACACCAAUUAGAAGCAUAACAUCAAUGUCAAGUCUUAGCUACACCAAUACCAUUGAUGAGUCCAC